This 416-nucleotide long non-coding RNA is filed under the name Numida meleagris (helmeted guineafowl). RNAcentral describes it as "lncRNA (ENSNMEG00000020977.1)". Lineage: Eukaryota; Metazoa; Chordata; Aves; Galliformes; Numididae. The record is from RNAcentral.
UCUUGAUUUCUUGUUCUUUUUCUCUUUUCUUUGACCAUGGCUUUCAACAGCACUGUGUAUGUAAUUUUAUCUGUCUGAUAAACUUCAGAUGAUCCAAUAGAUACAAGCUGACUAUAAACAACCUGUUUUGUACAGAAGGUUCUCUGUCCUGAGAUAGAGCUGGGCCUGAAUUGUUCCUGCUUUUAAGUGAUGUCCGAGUGAUAACCUUGGGAAGAUUUCUGAGAGGAUACUGGUUCUGAGGUGUUUUGUGAUCAAAUCUAAUGACAAUUGUCCAGAACUGGAGAGGUUAAAAUCACCUAUGACUUCUGCCUAUUUGAUUGCAUUUUGAACAGGCAGCAUACGAUAUGGGAUUCAGCCAGAAGGAAGUAAUUGAGCAGUGGAGGUUUUAUAAGGCUGCUUACUGAAAUAUUUCAGGC